CGUUUUGUUUGCUUUGGCUUUCUUCAUAGGGGUUUGUUAUGGUGUUACAUUAAAAGACAAUAGAUAUGAAGGGAUAUACGUCGCUGUUCAUGAUCUUGUGACCGAAGAUCAAAGCUUAAUCGACAGAAUAAAGGAUAUCUUUACUGCCGCAUCACGAUUGCUGUUUAGGGCUACGGAACAGCGCGUGUAUUUUGGUGAAAUCAACAUCGUCGUUCCAAGAUCCUGGACACCACAGAGAGACGCCCAGCCAGUCCAACAAUCCGAGCGCGGAUACUUCAAGAUAGAAGACGGACAACUGAUAACCCCGAGGACAUUUGGCAAUGACAUUUGUGG
Long non-coding RNA from Mya arenaria, 333 nucleotides. RefSeq lists it as uncharacterized. The record is from RefSeq and is a predicted model, not a curated record. Lineage: Eukaryota; Metazoa; Mollusca; Bivalvia; Myida; Myidae. The transcript is spliced from 3 exons.